CUGCCAUAUCACCUUUAAACACCUUUUCUCGUCCGACCUCCAAAGUUAAGCAACGUCAAGCUUAGUCUCUAGAAGGGUGACCGCUUGGGAAUACCAGGUGCUGUAA
This is a non-coding RNA of Acanthosepion pharaonis, 106 nucleotides long. NCBI's taxonomy places the organism in Eukaryota, Metazoa, Mollusca, Cephalopoda, Sepiida, Sepiidae. The record is from the annotation of a GenBank genome assembly.